RNAcentral lists this unclassified non-coding RNA (667 nucleotides) under Arthroderma phaseoliforme. RNAcentral's name for it is "sequence contains 18S rRNA gene, ITS1, 5.8S rRNA gene, ITS2, 28S rRNA gene". The stretch from base 273 to 426 matches the Rfam family "5.8S ribosomal RNA". The record is from RNAcentral. Lineage: Eukaryota; Fungi; Ascomycota; Eurotiomycetes; Onygenales; Arthrodermataceae.
GUAACAAGGUUUCCGUAGGUGAACCUGCGGAAGGAUCAUUACAGCGUUGCCGACGUCGGCCCCUCCUCUUCGGGGGGGUCGCCGGCAUAUGCCCAUUCUUGUCUACUGACCCAGUUGCCUCGGCGCGCCGCUCCGCCUAGCGGACGGCCGGAAGUCGUCAGGACGUCUCCCCUCGGGGGGGCAGCCCGGCGGCCCUGGUCCGCGCCCGCCGAAGGACAGUCUAAAACUCUUUACUUAAACGGCCGUCUGAGCGUAUAAGCAAAAUUAAUUAAAACUUUCAACAACGGAUCUCUUGGUUCCGGCAUCGAUGAAGAACGCAGCGAAAUGCGAUAAGUAAUGUGAAUUGCAGAAUUCCGUGAAUCAUCGAAUCUUUGAACGCACAUUGCGCCCCCUGGUAUUCCGGGGGGCAUGCCUGUUCGAGCGUCAUUGCAACCCUCAAGCCCGGCUUGUGUGAUGGACGAUCGUCCCGCCCCCCUGGGGCGUGGGACGCGCCCGAAAAGCAGUGGCCAGGCCGAGCUUCCGGCGCCUGAGCGAAUGGGACUUCCACCGCUUCUAGGACCGGCCGGCAUCUGGCCUCAAACCGAAGGUCUCCUUCACCGGAGCCUUCACCACCAAGGUUGACCUCGGAUCAGGUAGGGAUACCCGCUGAACUUAAGCAUAUCAAUAA